UUCUAACAGAAAUAAUUGUUAGUAAAUCCUGCUCAAUGAUUCGUUAAAUAGCCGCAAUAACUUGUGCUAAGGUAGCAUAAUAAUUUGCCUAUUAAUUGUAGGCCAGAAUGAAAGGAUUAACAUAAGAAAUUCUUUAUUCAUUAAAUAAAUUUAACUUCAUUUAUAAGUAAAAAAGCUUAUAUUUUUUAGAAGGACGACAAGACCCUGUCGAACUUCACUAAAGUUUUACUGGGGCGGUAAAAAAACUAACACUUAUUUUCCAUUUACAAAAUAUAAACAUAAUGUUAAUUCUAAACAAGUUACCGCAGGGAUAACAGCAUAAUUUUUUCCUAAAGAUCUUAUUAAAGAAAAAGAUUGUGACCUCGAUGUUGAAUAAUUUAUCUUAUUGGGGCAGCACCUAAACAAGUAAGUCUGUUCGACUUUUAAAAAAUUACA
This 435-nucleotide ribosomal RNA is filed under the name Hadronyche sp. MY2075. RNAcentral's name for it is "partial 16S ribosomal RNA". It matches the Rfam family "Bacterial large subunit ribosomal RNA", at positions 1831 to 2600 of the family's 2925-position model. The record is from RNAcentral. Lineage: Eukaryota; Metazoa; Arthropoda; Arachnida; Araneae; Hexathelidae.